GAGGGAGUCGCGGUCGCCGCCGGGACCUGCAAAAGAAGUCUAAACCGGAGUUGGGGUUGCUCCGGCAAGACCCUCCGAUGCUCAAGUCAGUUCUCUGCCUCAACAAGAAUGGAGUGCUCGAACGAAAAUUUUAGCAGAGUUUUUGGGAUAGAAAGUAGAGCUUAGAGAAUAACGUAUCUGGGCCCCCCCUUUUUAUAGGCGGAGGGAGCAACGGAUUGAUAGCGACAUUUGUAACCGCCUAGUAGUGGGCCGCUUGGGGCCAGGAGGAGUUUAUUAUGAAGAGUAAUGGGGUGGAGUCGUGGCUGUCACCAUGGCUCGCCACGUGGAAUCUGUUGUGGAGAGUGGAGCAGCAUCCGUUGUCGUGACUCACCAGGGAGUGGUGGAGCCGCACAGUAUCCGCCGCAGGGAGUGGAGCAGAGUCGUGGCCAUUACUACGGCCUGCCACGUGGAGCCCAUUGCGGAGAGUGAUGGAGCCGUACAGAAUUCAUCGCAGGAGGUGGAGCAGAGUCAUGGCC
This 515-nucleotide long non-coding RNA is filed under the name Elaeis guineensis (African oil palm). Its description in RNAcentral is "long non-coding RNA (EGUI_LNC036498)". Lineage: Eukaryota; Viridiplantae; Streptophyta; Magnoliopsida; Arecales; Arecaceae. The record is from RNAcentral.